Molecule: ribosomal RNA, 592 nt
Filed under: Cryocola sp.
Lineage: Bacteria; Bacillati; Actinomycetota; Actinomycetes; Micrococcales; Microbacteriaceae
Description: bacterial SSU rRNA
Rfam family: Bacterial small subunit ribosomal RNA
Source: RNAcentral
UCAGGUAGUUGGUGAGGUAACGGCCCACCAAGCCUACGACGGGUAGCCGGCCUGAGAGGGUGACCGGCCACACUGGGACUGAGACACGGCCCAGACUCCUACGGGAGGCAGCAGUGGGGAAUAUUGCACAAUGGGCGAAAGCCUGAUGCAGCAACGCCGCGUGAGGGAUGACGGCCUUCGGGUUGUAAACCUCUUUUAGUAGGGAAGAAGCGAAAGUGACGGUACCUGCAGAAAAAGCACCGGCUAACUACGUGCCAGCAGCCGCGGUAAUACGUAGGGUGCGAGCGUUGUCCGGAAUUAUUGGGCGUAAAGAGCUCGUAGGCGGUCUGUCGCGUCUGCUGUGAAAACCCGAGGCUCAACCUCGGGCUUGCAGUGGGUACGGGCAGACUAGAGUGCGGUAGGGGAGAAUGGAAUUCCUGGUGUAGCGGUGGAAUGCGCAGAUAUCAGGAGGAACACCGAUGGCGAAGGCAGUUCUCUGGGCCGUAACUGACGCUGAGGAGCGAAAGCGUGGGGAGCGAACAGGAUUAGAUACCCUGGUAGUCCACGCCGUAAACGUUGGGCGCUAGAUGUGGGGACCAUUCCACGGUUUCCG